This 3534-nucleotide long non-coding RNA is filed under the name Sus scrofa (pig). RNAcentral's name for it is "lncRNA (ENSSSCG00025013015.1, ENSSSCG00035066677.1, ENSSSCG00045035797.1)". The record is from RNAcentral. Lineage: Eukaryota; Metazoa; Chordata; Mammalia; Artiodactyla; Suidae.
GAGCGUGCCAAAGAGGCGCCAGGGUCGGCAGCGUCUUCCAGAGGGUCUGCAGCAGCUCAGCAGAUGAGUAGGAAAAAAGAGAGGCCGGAGGGAGAACAUGGGAUGUGUAUACUGUGUGCGGUUGGGAGGAGGAAUCGAGUAUUUGCUUCAUAGGACAUGCAAGUGGGAAGUAACCUUCCUUCUCCCAGCAUGUUCCUCACUGUUUUUCUCAUUUAUGAGAUUUGUCCUUUUUCGGAAACAAAGACAAAGACUCUUUAGUUUGUCGCCCAACAAGCUUUUUGAGUACUGCAGUGCGUUGUAUUUCUAUAUACUUACUCUGUGCGGCUCUUGUAAGAAUGAUUAAAACAUUGAGCAUCAUUCUUUGGUUAGAGUAGUUUGCCUAUACCUAAUUUAUGUGCAGGAUAAAUGCUCUGCUCCUUUUCUCAGGUCGUAGAAUAAAACGAUGUGUGCUUGGACAUCAUCCAUGAAGUUAAGCUACUGUAGGACAAGGUUCAGUUUUAGAGGUGGGGCCUCGAAUUUGGUGACCUCCCCUCUGAGGUCCCUAGGGUUCUGAUGAAUGGGAGAUGGACUGUUCUUGUUCCAUCUUAUCCCUGCUCUGCCCAGGAGUAAAGUUUUCCUUUGGUUUGCAGUUGAAAGGGAAACAAGGGUUGUAUUCAGUACUGCUUCUAAGUCUUUAAUUGGAAUGUCAAGCUCACACUUCAAAUAGGCUGAUUCGUUAAAAUUAAAGAUGUAGAGUAAAUUUCGGCAAAGCCAAUCUGUCUUUGCUAUUAGCUUCUUUUAUAUAAUCUUUCAUGCACUCGACUGAAAAAUAAAAUACUGAACAUUUAUGCAGUUAGAUGUCAGUACACCUUUUGGGGAGUAAUGACUGGGAAGGGGCACGAGGAAAUCUGGGUACAACAAAUCAUUUUUUGAUUUGGUUUAUGACAUUUCAUUGAAGUAAAUGUUAUCAUGUAUGUUUAUAUCUAUAUGUAAAUUGUAUUAUUUUCCCCUCUUUCUGGCUGCCCUGAGGCAUAUGGAGUUCCCAGGCCAGGGAUCAGAUCCAAGCCACACUUGUGACCUGUGCCGAAGCUGCAGUAGUGCUAGAUCCUUUAACCCGCUGUGCCAAGCCGGGGAUCGAACCUGUGUUCUGGUGCUACAGAGAUAACCACUGAUCCCAUUGGGCCACAGUGGGGACUCCUAUAUCUAUAUGUCAAAAAAAGUUAAAAAAAUUGAUUAAGGCAUUCUCUGGUAGUGUAGUAGGUUAAAGAUCCAUUCUGGCCAUUGCUGUGGCUCAGGGCACUGCCCUGGUGCAGGUUUGAUCCCUGGCCCAGGAAUUUCCAAAUGCUGCUGCUGGCAAAGCCAAAGGGGGAAAAAAAUUAAGAGUAAGGUAACAGAAUUCAAUUACAAUGGGGAACGUUUUUGAAAAACUCUUUAAAAGUCUCUUUGGGAAAAAAGAGAUGCGGAUUCUGAUGGUGGGUUUGGAUGCCGCUGGGAAAACCACCAUCUUAUAUAAGUUGAAGCUGGGAGAGAUUGUGACGACCAUCCCUACAAUCGGUUUCAAUGUGGAGACGGUGGAAUAUAAAAACAUCAGCUUCACAGUCUGGGAUGUCGGUGGCCAAGACAAAAUCAGACCUUUAUGGCGACAUUAUUUCCAGAACACACAAGGUCUGAUUUUUGUGGUCGACAGUAACGAUAGAGAGCGGGUCAAUGAAGCCCGAGAAGAACUAACCAGAAUGUUAGCUGAAGAUGAGCUCAGAGAUGCAGUUUUAUUGGUGUUUGUAAAUAAACAGGAUCUUCCCAAUGCUAUGAAUGCAGCAGAGAUAACAGACAAGCUCGGCUUACACUCCCUCCGCCAGAGGAACUGGUACAUUCAGGCUACUUGUGCCACCAGUGGAGAUGGGCUUUACGAAGGCCUGGACUGGCUCUCCAACCAGCUCAAAAACCAGAAGUGACGGGAAGCGCUCCGUUCCCUGUGCAUCAUGGCCAAAGCAGCUGGCCUCUCUGUGUGCGUGUGUGCGUGUGAGGAGCCGAGUGUGGGCGUGUGGCCGGGCGUGGGAGCAGCUUUCUCACAUGGUGCCUUAUACAUGUGCUAGGGAAACCAGUCUUACAUGUUAUGAACAACGAGUGUUACAUUUUAAAUGCUACCUUCCAUUUUAAUGGCUGUGAUGGCCAGUUUGGCAGUGGAUGCAGGGGUCCAGGGGGCUCCGUGCACAACAACCAGAGUGGCCUCGAGAUGGGAAGAAGGCGGAGGGUGGGCGGGGGACCGAGUUCGUUUGUGCCGUCCUGGGUCUGGCGUCUCUGCCCACCUGGGGUCCGCUCAGACUUUGGCAUCCUUUUCCCAUCACUGCCAGAGCUAGCAGCUCGCCUUUCAGUGCUUUGAAGCAAAUGGUCCUCAAGAGAAAAAGGCUCUUGCUUCCUGCAGGUAAGAAGUUCAGAUUUGAACUUUUCCCUGAAGCGAUAUUCUAACCUGGAUUUCCUGGUUUAAUUGAAAGGAAUCGGUGGUCUUUUUCCAUGAGGGUAUCAGGACCUAGAAACUCUAGAAAAGCAUCCAGUCCUUUCCUUCUUUGCCUCUUAGUUGCCAAAUGGAGACCCUGGGGUCGUGACCCCAGCACGCAGCAAAGGCUCUUCCCCGGGCUCCACAGCCGCACGUGCAGGGUCCAGUUAAGGCAGGAGGUGCCGGUGGAGCCUGUGUUCCUGCAUCACCGCCCCGGGCUUCAGGCUCCUGAGACCGCUGCUCCCACGUGUCUGCUUUGUGCUGAAUGUUCUCCGCUCACAGCUGGACGUUCCCUCCUGGGGUGGAACUGUCACUGUGUACAGUGUCUCAGUCCAGCCUUCGGUUUGGAUGAGCUGCUGUUCCCAGAACCACACGCCUGUGAGUUCUGUGCGUCUGUCAGAGAAUCAGGUGGUCAACACCGGGGGGUGAAGCUCCCGGCAGCCCCUGGUGUGGUCCCCGAGGUGGUUGGUGCUAAAGUUCGCUAUGAAGAAUGUCUCGUCCAGACCACUCUCCGUAGCCCUGACUCCCUCGUCUGGCUGGGAGUAAUGUCUUCGGUGGAAAGAUGUCUUAGGUUGUCCUCAGAACAGUCGGAGAAAUGGCCCGGAAAUGAGCUCAGUCACUCGGUAUCUAGAGCACUUUUGCCCAGACAGCUGUUGGCCAAAUUUGCACCGAAGCUCUUCCACUACUACCUUUUAAAAUUCCUUAGCCAAGGAGGAAAAUGUUAGGUGAAUUUUAACAAAAGUAAACCAUGUUUAUUGACAGCAAUGAAGUAGCUAUAACUAGGAAGAACUUUCAUGCCAUGAUAAAUGUGGGAUGUAAUGUUUUUCUUUCAAAUAGUGACUUUAAAGAAUGCUCAUUGUACUCCUGGCUACAGAGUCCAGAUUUGAUUUUUACUCAUGGGGUUAAGUCCUGAGAAACAUUUAGACUGUACGCCUCAGACUGGCAGGACCUGUGUCUUAUACUUUUGUAUUUAUGCUCAAUACCGUGUGCCUGGUACAGCCCUAGGCCUGGGUGAACACGUGUUGAUUGGCUGGACAAUAAAGACCUUGCUUUGGACAGAG